This 72-nucleotide transfer RNA is filed under the name Ovis aries (sheep). It matches the Rfam family "tRNA". Rfam says of the family: Transfer RNA (tRNA) molecules are approximately 80 nucleotides in length. Their secondary structure includes four short double-helical elements and three loops (D, anti-codon, and T loops). The record is from Rfam by way of RNAcentral. Lineage: Eukaryota; Metazoa; Chordata; Mammalia; Artiodactyla; Bovidae.
UCCCUGGUGGCUCAGAGGUUAAAGCGUCUGCCUGCAAUGUGGGAUGCCUGGGUUCGAUCCCUGGGUUGGGAA